AUAUCAGUAAGCGGAGGGAACGAAACUAACAAGGAUUCACUUAGUAGCGGCGAAUGAACCGAGUACAGUCCAGCGAUAAAUUGGUACGUUUAGGUGUACCGACAUGUAGCGUAUCAGGGCACAAAUUUCCCAUGACCGGGUGCCAAAGAAGAUGAAAGACCUGUAGCGCUCGAGACUUUGGCCAAUUGUUUUUUCUUAAAGUCGGGUUUUUUGGGUGAUCGCAGCUCAAAGUAGGUGGUAAACUUCACCUAAGACUAAAUACCCCCACGAGACCGAUAGCGCACAAGUA
Molecule: ribosomal RNA, 289 nt
Filed under: uncultured eukaryote
Lineage: Eukaryota
Description: partial large subunit ribosomal RNA
Rfam family: Eukaryotic large subunit ribosomal RNA
Source: RNAcentral